GACGCAUCUUAUGCACUUUCCUUCGUGCAUAUGGUCGAAAGCUUUGUUUAUGUUCUUAAGUGGUUCUUCAUUAGUGAUAUAUUCAUCCACUUUGAAGUGGCCUUGCAUGUACUCAUCAACAAAGUUCGGCAAUUCAGAACGCCCUUUAACUCCUCCAAAAGCUGAACCCAACACUUGACGACCAGUUACUACAAGGAAUGGACGAAAAUCAAGGGUUUUACCAGCUGCGGCGACGCCUAUAACACACAGUUUACCCCAACCUUUGUGGCAGAAUUGAAGUUCCUGCUGCAUGACAGUGACAUUUCCAGUGCAAUCAAAUGCAUAGUCAACACCACCAUCAGUCACAUCAAUAACAUACUGUACGAGGUCUUUAACUUUAGAAGAAUCGAUAAAGUCAGUAGCACCAAAUUUCUUGGCAUAUACUUCCUUAUCUGCAUUGAUAUCAAUAGCAAUGAUUCUCGAAGCACCAGCUGCAACCGCACCCUGCAUUGCAGCGAGACCUACGCAUCCACAUCCAACAACAGCUACCGUUGAACCAGACUCAACCUUAGCAGAGUGUGUCACAGCACCAAAUCCAGUUGUGACACCGCAGCCCAACAAGCAAAUACUGCGAAGAGGUGCGGAGUGUGAAAUAGCCACAAGCGAGAUAUCAGCUACAACUGUGUAUUGACUAAAGCUAGAACAUCCCAUGUAAUGAAGCAACGUUUUAUCGCGACAGGAAAAGCGACUAGUACCGUCAGGCAUUAAACCUCGACCUUGUGUUUCACGAAUUUUGGAGCACAAAUUAGUUUUACCACUACGACAGAAUUUACACUCUUUACAUUCCGGAGUAUAUAGCAAAAUAACAUGGUCUCCAGGACGCACGUUGAUAACCCCUUCGCCAAUGCUUUCCACAAUACCAGCACCCUCAUGACCAAGAACAAUAGGGAAUGCGCCUUCUGGAUCUACACCAGACAGCGUGUAAGCAUCUGUGUGACAAACAGCACUCCAAUCGACUUUCACACGAACCUCAUGAGCUUUUGGAGGGGCAACCUGAAUACUGUAGUAUCACCUCCCAUUCUGCCCGUUGAUGAGCAGAAGAGAAGUCAAAAGUUAGUAAUAAAAUUCAAGUAUAAAUUCUUUUCCUUUUGUCAUCAUUAUACUUACUCCUCUAUAGAUAAAGGUUCCUUUGCACCCCAAGCUACGGCUGCCUAAAACGAAUGUUAUUAGUACACAGAAAGAAAAAAUAAAAGAUAAUUAUCCAUAUACUCAUGGAUGAACAAUAAUAUCAAAAGUAAACCUUUGGUGGACUUACAGCACCAAUAUCAUUUACACUUUAGACAAUGAUUUACGUUUUCUUUUUCAUACCUUGCAAGUGAUCGUUUUACCUUCGAAAGACAUGUUUCAUUAAAGACUAUCUCAGAAUGUGUAUUUGGUAGAAAGACUGUUACAGUUUUAACAUUUAGGUCUACUUACUUAUUACAUAUGCUUACUACUAGAUAGGUCGCGACUCGGAUGAAAAUUGUCGAUCAUCGUCGAUCUUGUAUCUCAAUAGUC
Schizosaccharomyces pombe (fission yeast) is the source of this 1536-nucleotide non-coding RNA. NCBI's taxonomy places the organism in Eukaryota, Fungi, Ascomycota, Schizosaccharomycetes, Schizosaccharomycetales, Schizosaccharomycetaceae. The record is from the annotation of a GenBank genome assembly.